AAUAAUUGCAGCCAUAAGUUUUCGCGUCCAACUUUAAUCGUCCGUCUUAUUUGAAUUUUUUUUAUAAUUAGCAUUUUUGUUGUUAUAAGAUGAUAAAACAUAAAUAAUACUUUAGUCACGACUUAUGUUUUUAAUUUUUUUCUAAAUUUUUUCAAAUAAGAUGAACGGUCAAAGUUAGACACGAAAAACCAUGGCUACACUUAUU
This is a non-coding RNA of Oryza nivara, 205 nucleotides long. Lineage: Eukaryota; Viridiplantae; Streptophyta; Magnoliopsida; Poales; Poaceae. The record is from Rfam.